Molecule: ribosomal RNA, 505 nt
Filed under: uncultured bacterium
Lineage: Bacteria
Description: bacterial SSU rRNA
Rfam family: Bacterial small subunit ribosomal RNA
Source: RNAcentral
CUGGCUCAGGAUGAACGCUAGCGACAGGCUUAACACAUGCAAGUCGAGGGGCAGCACGGGAGUAGCAAUACUUGGUGGCGACCGGCGCACGGGUGAGUAACGCGUAUGCAACUACCUAUCAGAGGGGAAUAACCCGGCGAAAGUCGGACUAAUACCGCAUAAAACAGGGGCACCGCAUGGUGAUAUUUGUUAAGAAAUUCGCUGAUAGAUGGGCAUGCGUUCCAUUAGGUAGUUGGUGAGGUAACGGCUCACCAAGCCGACGAUGGAUAGGGGAACUGAGAGGUUGGUCCCCCACACUGGUACUGAGACACGGACCAGACUCCUACGGGAGGCAGCAGUGAGGAAUAUUGGUCAAUGGGCGGGAGCCUGAACCAGCCAAGUCGCCGUGAAGGAAGAAGGAUCUAUGGUUCGUAAACUUCUUUUGCAGGGGAAUAAAGUGCAGGACGUGUCCUGUUUUGUAUGUACCCUGAGAAUAAGGAUCGGCUAACUCCGUGCCAGCCGCCGC